GACGAACGCUGGCGGCGUGCUUAACACAUGCAAGUCGAACGGAAAGGCCCUGCUUUUGUGGGGUGCUCGAGUGGCGAACGGGUGAGUAACACGUGAGUAACCUGCCCUUGACUUUGGGACAACUUCAGGAAACUGGGGCUAAUACCGGAUAGGAGCUCCUGCUGCAUGGUGGGGGUUGGAAAGUUUCGGCGGUUGGGGAUGGACUCGCGGCUUAUCAGCUUGUUGGUGGGGUAGUGGCCUACCAAGGCUUUGACGGGUAGCCGGCCUGAGAGGGUGACCGGCCACAUUGGGACUGAGAUACGGCCCAGACUCCUACGGGAGGCAGCAGUGGGGAAUAUUGCACAAUGGGCGGAAGCCUGAUGCAGCAACGCCGCGUGCGGGAUGACGGCCUUCGGGUUGUAAACCGCUUUCGCCUGUGACGAAGCGUGAGUGACGGUAAUGGGUAAAGAAGCACCGGCUAACUACGUG
RNAcentral lists this ribosomal RNA (468 nucleotides) under uncultured bacterium. RNAcentral describes it as "partial 16S ribosomal RNA". It matches the Rfam family "Bacterial small subunit ribosomal RNA", at positions 28 to 507 of the family's 1533-position model. The record is from RNAcentral.